UCUGGGUUCAGGUCCGUACCCCUACACAAAAAGAACUACACAAUUUGACUGCUUUACUAUAUACGCCACAUCCCCUUCAAAA
Sphaeramia orbicularis (orbiculate cardinalfish) is the source of this 82-nucleotide long non-coding RNA. RefSeq lists it as uncharacterized. The record is from RefSeq and is a predicted model, not a curated record. The transcript is spliced from 3 exons. NCBI's taxonomy places the organism in Eukaryota, Metazoa, Chordata, Actinopteri, Kurtiformes, Apogonidae.